Molecule: long non-coding RNA, 2420 nt
Filed under: Homo sapiens (human)
Lineage: Eukaryota; Metazoa; Chordata; Mammalia; Primates; Hominidae
Description: HSALNT0032221
Source: RNAcentral
GCGAGCGCCGCGGCGGUGGCGUGGCCGGGAGAGAAGAAAGGGGUGGCAGGGGUGGGAGGAAAGGGUGGGGGGGAGCAAGACGUGCGCCCUGCUCCCCCCCACACACGCGGACUCUAAAAUGAAAGAUUAUUCAAAAAAGAAAAAAAUAGAGCGAGAGUGCACCGGGAGGCUGCAGCCCCGGGCUGGGGAAGCGCGGGCGGAGGGAAGCCAGGUAGAGUUGCUCCCGGACACCCUCCUCCGUACGCACACCCACUUCCCCUCCCCGCCGCCGCCGCGCUCGCUCCCCGCGUGUGGACGCCAGGGGCCGAAGUAAAAGCCCCGAGCCCGCGGCUGCGCUCGGGAAACUUUGCCCGAGGAGAGGACAGCAAAGAAAAAUCACCCGAAGUUGAGAGCUGAGCCUCCAAGUUACAGCUCCGCAGCGGGCGAGGGGAGGUGGGAGGGAGCGCACGGCAACGCGGAAUCCAGCCUAAGUUUGGAGGGCUGCGGGUCCGGAAGGGCAGCGCCCAAGUCUCCAGGAGCCCGCGCGGCCUGGAAAGAGGGGACCGGGGAGAGGCAGGCGGCGCAGGCCGGGGCCCGAGGGCGCCCCCAAGGCCGAGGACAAAGCGCGGGCAGUCCCGGGAGUCCCAGUCCCUGGGAAUGUGCUCACGGCGCCGCGGGAGGUCCCCGAGCCGGGUCCCUGGGAGGGACACACCCCCUCCCACUCCAGAGCAACUGCAAAAGCACAGAGGGAUGGGAAGAAAAUGUUUCUUACGGGCAGAGCACAACUGUUCCUGUGCUGUUACCCAGGGAAAGAGAAAAUGGGAAUGGAGAGAGAGCGACAGGCUCGCAGGAGCAGCGGGGAGACCACGGUGGUGAGAUGACCGCCUCGGGUCACCGCCGCGCUCCCCAGGCGCCGCCGGCCAAGGCGCACACCCAGGAGCCAGCAGCCCCCUCUCGCCUUUCUGCAGACGUUCCCUGGAAAUUAGGGAAGACCUGUUGGAAAUAAAACCCUGUCUCUUUAAUGCACACACGCACACACACGCGCGUGCUGCCGCUGUCAAAAAGCGGGCUUCACUCUGGCGUGGGAUACUUUCAGUUUUACGUAAAAUGUACAGCAACAGCACCCCCUGCGAUUGGAAAGUUUAUUCAGAAACGUGCCUGUAAAGUCCCCUGGCGCCUCCCGCCUCCCAGCCUCCCUGCCUGCCAGCACCACUCUGCAGCCGCCGCCGCCGCCGCCGGGGAGAUCGCAGUCCGAUUCCAAAUCUGGAAGGAGUUGGGGGGAGAGGAGAAUGGACUCAGGUCCAAGGGAGGUGCGGAGGGUGCAGGGUGGAGACGGGUCGCCAUGGCCCGCGAGACCCUGAGCUGCAGGUGGAUAUGUGUGAGUGUGUCUGCAGAGCGAGGAGCCCUCCUUCCCUCUCCUCGGAGCGGUUCCACAACCCCCGUCUUCUCAUCCCCCUCUUCAGUCUAAAGGGUGUCGCUUCCGUAAACUCACCCACCCGGUGGGGGGGCUUUAUUGUUUUAAGCGAGGGCCCCGGGCUUGCACGCGCUCACCCAUCCCGCAGCCCUGCCGGCAAGCGGCUGUUUAUUCCUGUUUCGUCUUAGUAAAGUUUCAAGUCUACUGUGUUAGAAAAUGACUGGCUUGCCUAGCUCGGCGGAGCUUCGGACCCCUCUAAGGAAGAAAAGGAGGUUUUGAUGCUCAACAUUGAGAGAGAUGUGGGCUGUACUGGGAUUGUGUCAAUGUGGUUUGUUGUUUGUUGUUGUUUCCCUCCAGUUUGUGGGAGGGAGACCUCAAAUUCUGUUUAAGAAGCGGGAGGAUUCACUAGAAGUUAAGCUCUGUAGCUUGUGUGUGACACCAUUUCCCCUUUUCACUGAGUUCUUCAGAGCAGGUCAGCAUCUCUAUUCCACCACAGUCUGCUUUUUGUCUUGUUAAACCAGCCUUGGAGUCACCAAAAGAAUAAAGUGCAACUGGGAGGCCUUUGAAAAAUAAAUAAAUAAAAGAAAAGCCCCUUCAGGUAACAAUAGUGAGCCAGAUUCUUUCAGAACCAAGCUUUUCAGAUUUGAAUAUUGUUCCCACCCGUCCAUAAAAGUCCAUCUAUAGAGAAGAUAUAUAAAUGAGCGAGUGAGUGUUGUGGAAAUAUAUAUAUAUGUAUGAUUUAUAUAUAAUGGUGUGUAUAAAGCUUUUCGGGGUUGGCUGUAGUGUAAAAAGUAAUGACUUUAUUACCUCUGAAAGGUUCUGUGGUUCACAUUUAACAGUCUUCUGAAUUACAAUUCAUUACACAAUUGUGUGCGCUCUGACGAUGGCACCCUAUCAGGGCUGCUAUCUGUGGCUAUUUCCAAUAAAUAACUGGCAACAUUUUAUUGAUUUUCCUUUUUAAAAAAAAACAUAGGAAAUUAAGCACUUAGUUACAAGUAGGUCUGCUAUGUUAUUGCACUUGUUUCAG